GAUGAACGCUGGCGGCGUGCCUAAUACAUGCAAGUCGAGCGAACAGACGAGGAGCUUGCUCCUCUGACGUUAGCGGCGGACGGGUGAGUAACACGUGGAUAACCUACCUAUAAGACUGGGAUAACUUCGGGAAACCGGAGCUAAUACCGGAUAAUAUAUUGAACCGCAUGGUUCAAUAGUGAAAGACGGUUUUGCUGUCACUUAUAGAUGGAUCCGCGCCGCAUUAGCUAGUUGGUAAGGUAACGGCUUACCAAGGCAACGAUGCGUAGCCGACCUGAGAGGGUGAUCGGCCACACUGGAACUGAGACACGGUCCAGACUCCUACGGGAGGCAGCAGUAGGGAAUCUUCCGCAAUGGGCGAAAGCCUGACGGAGCAACGCCGCGUGAGUGAUGAAGGUCUUUGGAUCGUAAAACUCUGUUAUUAGGGAAGAACAAAUGUGUAAGUAACUAUGCACGUCUUGACGGUACCUAAUCAGAAAGCCACAGCUAACUACGUG
Molecule: ribosomal RNA, 497 nt
Filed under: uncultured bacterium
Lineage: Bacteria
Description: partial 16S ribosomal RNA
Rfam family: Bacterial small subunit ribosomal RNA
Source: RNAcentral